This 452-nucleotide ribosomal RNA is filed under the name uncultured bacterium. RNAcentral describes it as "bacterial SSU rRNA". It matches the Rfam family "Bacterial small subunit ribosomal RNA", at positions 917 to 1382 of the family's 1533-position model. The record is from RNAcentral.
GAACCCGCACAAGCGGUGGAGCAUGUGGUUUAAUUUGAUGAUAAGCAGGGAACCUCACCAAGGUUUGACAUUUAUAGAAUUCUGGGGAAACUCAGAAGUGCCGCAAGGAGCUAUAAAACAGGUGCUGCAUGGUUGUCGUCAGCUCGUGUCGUGAGAUGUCGGGUUAAGUCCUUUAACGAGCGCAACCCUCAUCCUAAUUUAUAUAUUCAUUAGGAAACUGCCCAGGAUAACUGGGAGGAAGGCGAGGAUGACGUCAAAUCAGCAUGGCUCUUACACCUUGGGCUACACACGUGCUACAAUGGCUAGUACAAUGGGCCGCUAAGUCGCGAGACGGAGCUAAUCCCACCAAAACUAGUCCCAGUUCGGAUUGGAGUCUGCAAUUCGACUCCAUGAAGUCGGAAUCGCUAGUAAACGCAUAUCAGAACGGUGCGUUGAAUACGUUCUCGGGUUUU